Molecule: ribosomal RNA, 253 nt
Filed under: uncultured bacterium
Lineage: Bacteria
Description: partial 16S ribosomal RNA
Rfam family: Bacterial small subunit ribosomal RNA
Source: RNAcentral
UACGUAGGGACCAAGCGUUGUUCGGAUUUACUGGGCGUAAAGGGCGCGUAGGCGGCAUGACAAGUCACUUGUGAAAUCUCCGGGCUUAACUCGGAACGGCCAAGUGAUACUGUCGCGCUAGAGUGCAGAAGAAACAAUCGGAAUUCUUAAUAUAACAGUAAAAUACAUAGAUAUCAAAAGAAACACCUGAGGUGAAGACGGGUUGCUGGGCUGACACUGAUGCUGAGGCGCGAAAGCUAGGGUAGCAAACGGG